RNAcentral lists this long non-coding RNA (272 nucleotides) under Anas platyrhynchos platyrhynchos (common mallard). RNAcentral describes it as "lncRNA (ENSAPLG00000019598.1)". Lineage: Eukaryota; Metazoa; Chordata; Aves; Anseriformes; Anatidae. The record is from RNAcentral.
GUUGGUUUCUGUUUUUUCCAAACACAUUAAAACCCCUGAAGAAAGGGAAAAGUCCCUCACUAAAUCAAUGCCUAGAACAAAUGGAUCUAUACAUAUCAGGAAAUGAAGCCCUAUAUACCACACACACACAGUUUAUUUCUGGUGGUUCAAGAGGGGAUCUUUGAAGGUGUUUAAGCGCCCAGAGCUGCACAGAGAAGCCUAGAGAGAGGAGAUGGGCCGGAGAAGUGACUCAGAUCUGAGCUGGUCUGAGUCACCCCUGAAAGAUGCUGACC